Molecule: ribosomal RNA, 339 nt
Filed under: uncultured bacterium
Lineage: Bacteria
Description: bacterial SSU rRNA
Rfam family: Bacterial small subunit ribosomal RNA
Source: RNAcentral
UAGUAUAGCGGAGAGGCAUCUCUCUGUUAUUAAAGAUUUAUCACUUGAAGAUGGCUGUGCGGCUGAUUAGGUAGUUGGCGGGGUAACCGGGACCCACCCAAGCCUGCGAUCAGUAACUGGUGUGAGAGCACGACCAGUCACACGGGCACUGAGACACGGGCCCGACUCCUACGGGAGGCAGCAGUAAGGAAUAUUGGUCAAUGGACGAAAGUCUGAACCAGCCAUGCCGCGUGGAGGAUGAAGGUCCUCUGGAUUGUAAACUUCUUUUAUAUGGGACGAAAAAAGGUCUUUCUAGAUCGUCUGACGGUACCAUAUGAAUAAGCACCGGCUAACUCCGUG